UCAUUUAAAGAGUGCGUAAUAGCUCACUGGUCGAGUGAAGUUGCGCGGAAAAUUACCGGGGCUAAGUUAUACACCGAAAUUGCGGAUUCAUUAAGAAAUUAAUGAGUGGUAGAGGAGCGUUCUAUACAGGAUGAAGUAUGAUCGAGAGGACAUAUGGACAGUAUAGAAGAGAGAAUGCCGGAAUGAGUAGCGAGAGCAAAGUGAGAAUCUUUGCCGUCGAAAAUCUAAGGUUUCCUGGGGAAGGUUCGUCCGCCCAGGGUAAGUCGGGACCUAAGGUGAGGCCGAAGGGCGUAGCCGAUGGACAGCAGGUUAAGAUUCCUGCACCAGUAUACAUGUAUAAUGCAUAAGAGGACACAUUUGAAGAAGAUGAGCGAGGAAGAGGAAAAACUCGUAUGGCAACAUAUAGUGAAAUAAAGUAACGAAUCAUCAAGAGGCGAGUGGCGAGAAAAGUCUUAUGUAGUUGUGUAGACUGCCCGUACCGCAAACCGACACAGGUAGAUGAGGAGAGGAUCCUAAGACGAGCGGGAGAAGCAUUGUUAAGGAACUCGGCAAAUUGACCCCGUAACUUAGGGAUAAGGGGUGCUGGUGUAAAAGCCAGUCGCAGUAAAUAGGCCCAAGCAACUGUUUAACAAAAACACAGGUUUCUGCUAAAUCGCAAGAUGAAGUAUAGGAGCUGACUCCUGCCCAGUGCUGGAAGGUUAAGGGGAAAGGUUAGGAAUAAUUCAUUAUAUCCGAAGCUUUGAACUCAAGCCCCAGUGAACGGCGGCCGUAACUAUAACGGUCCUAAGGUAGCGAAAUUCCUUGUCAGGUAAGUUCUGACCCGCACGAAAGGAGUAAUGAUUUGGGCACUGUCUCAACAAUGUACCCGGCGAAAUUGUAGUACUAGUGAAGAUGCUAGUUACCUGCGACAAGACGGAAAGACCCCAUGGAGCUUUACUAUAGCCUGAUAUUGGGCUUUGGUAUCUUAUGUACAGGAUAGGUGGGAGACUAUGAGAUUAAGACGCAAGUCUUAAAGGAGUCGACCUUGGAAUACCACCCUUAAGAUAUUAGAGUUCUAACUUGUGAUCAUAAACUGGUCAGAGGACAUUGUCAGGUGGGUAGUUUGACUGGGGCGGUCACCUCCUAAAGAGUAACGGAGGUGCGCAAAGGUUUCCUCGGCACGGUCAGAAAUCGUGCUAAUGAGUGUAAAGGCAUAAGGAAGCUUAACUGAGAGAGAGACAUCUCGAGCAGAUACGAAAGUAGGUCUUAGUGAUCCGGUGGUAGAAAAUGGAAUUGCCAUCGCUCAACGGAUAAAAGUUACCCUGGGGAUAACAGGCUUAUCUCCCCCAAGAGUUCACAUCGACGGGGAGGUUUGGCACCUCGAUGUCGGCUCAUCGCAUCCUGGAGCGGAAGUACGUUCCAAGGGUUGGGCUGUUCGCCCAUUAAAGCGGUACGCGAGCUGGGUUCAGAACGUCGUGAGACAGUUCGGUCCCUAUCUGUCGCAGGCGCAGGAUAUUUGAAAGGAGCUGUCCUUAGUACGAGAGGACCAGGAUGGACAUACCAAUGGUGCAACAGUUGUCACACCAGUGGCACAGCUGUGUAGCUAAGUAUGGAAGGGAUAAACGCUGAAAGCAUCUAAGCGUGAAGCCCCCCUUAAGAUAAGAUAUCCCACAACGUCAAGUUGG
This 1664-nucleotide ribosomal RNA is filed under the name human oral metagenome. RNAcentral describes it as "bacterial LSU rRNA". It matches the Rfam family "Bacterial large subunit ribosomal RNA", at positions 1119 to 2828 of the family's 2925-position model. The record is from RNAcentral.